This 2040-nucleotide long non-coding RNA is filed under the name Homo sapiens (human). Its description in RNAcentral is "HSALNT0299304". The record is from RNAcentral. Lineage: Eukaryota; Metazoa; Chordata; Mammalia; Primates; Hominidae.
GUGCUGUGAGAUAUAGAGCACUGGUAUUAUCAUUUGAAUGCCAAUUCUGAAGUACCCAGAGAGCAAAUGGGUGACAGAGGCCAUGGUUUGCUUUCCCCACAGCCAUUCUACACCUCUUUCAAGGCCAGUUGUGUUCAUGUCGCAUCUGGCUUUAUGUCCGGCGCCCAGGAAUGAAUCACGGUUGAGCUAAAUGAAUCACGGAAAUCUCAUUCCUUCUUUGCUCCUUUGAGGCAGGCAUGUGAUUCAACAGAGAUCCAGAACACUUGGGGAAAGAUACUCCUCCGUGAUAGAAGGAGAGAGCUCUCCCCGCCUCCUAGCUUGGACGUUGUCUUGUGAGGACUUGGUGCUAUGUGCUGCAGCUGCACAGAGCUGGCACCAGAAAAAGGAAAGCCAAGAGCAGCCGAUCGCGGGCCCUGACGCCGUGGAAACAGUACAUGAACCACCUCUGGGACUGCCAAUCUCCAGACUUCUGAUGUGCGAUUUGUGAGUAAAAUUUUGUGGCUUACAUCAGACAUUCUCCUACCUAAAGGCACAAAGGGGAGAAACAAUGGGUGAUGGAAACGAUCAAGUCUUACCAGUGGAUGAAAUUGAACAAGUUUUUCCAGCAGGCUCAAUUCCUUGCCCUCUUGUCUCCGUCGGCUUUGCUUUAUUGUGGUUCACUUCUUUUUUUUUUUUUUUUUUUUUUUUUUUUUUUUUUGAGACGGAGUCUCGCUCUCGCCCAGGCUGGAGUGCAGUGGCGUGAUCUCUGCUCACUGCAGGCUCCGCCUCCUGGGUUCACGCCAUUCUCCUGCCUCAGCCUCCCCAGCAGCUGGGACUACAGGCGCCCGCCACCUCGCCCGGCUAAUUUUUUGUAUUUUUAGUAGAGACGGGGUUUCACCGUGUUAGCCAGGAUGGUAUCGAUCUCCUGACCUCGUGAUCCGCCUGCCUCAGCCUCCCAAAGUGCUGGGAUUACAGGCGUGAGCCACCGCUCCCAGCCUGUGGUUCACUUCUUAGAUUGCAGCAAGCGGCUGGGCGUGGUGGCUCAUGCCUAUAAUCCCAGCACUUUGGGAAGCUGAGGUGGGAGGAUCACUUGAGCCCAGGAGUUUGAGACCAACCUGGCAACAUAGUGAGACUGUAUCUCGACAAAAAAUUUAAAAAUUAGCUGAGUGUGGGGGCACAUACCUGUAGUCCCAGCUACUAGGGAGGCUGAGGUGGGAGGAUCACUUGAUCCCAGGAGGUUGAGGCUGCAGUGAGCUGUGAUUGUGUCACUGCACUCAAGCCUGGGUAACUCUGUCUCAAAAAUUAACUAAUUAAUUAAUUAAUUGCAGCAGUUAGUAAACUUCUGAGGCAAAACAAAAAUGGUAAAUGAAUUUAAAAGUAAGUGGCUACAAGGAAAUGAAUUAAAAUAUGAGGAAUGUGUGAUUACGUGAACAGCGGGCACUGAGGACAGGCAAUGGGCCAGGAGAGCUACCCCCACCAGCAUCAGGAAGCUGAGACAGAGAAGGGAGCGGGCACAGGACUGCAGAGGUGGGUAAAGGGGAGUCCACGACUUCCAAGGGAAAAACUCCAAGGAAAAGCCUCCACUUGGAAUGUGUCACCCAGCUCUCUGUCUGGACAAAUGCAACUCCUUAGUCCCAUGAUCAGCCAAACAUUUUGUCUUUCUUUCCAUAAAAGUUAUUGCUAUGGCCUGAAUGUGUCCCCCAAAAUUCCUAUGUUGAAACGUAAUCACCAGUGUGAUAGUAGUAUUAAGAGGUGGGGCCUUUAGGAGGUGAUUAAGUCAUCCCCGUGACUAGUGGGAUUAGUGCCCUUGUCAAAGAGGUUGAAGGAAGCACCACAGUCCCCGUCACCCCUUUUGCCAUCUGAAGAUGCAGCAAGAGACACCAUCUUGGAAGUGGAGAAGAAGCCCUCACCAGACACCAAACCCGCUGGCACCUUGAUCUUGGACUUCACAGCCUCCAGAAUUGUGAAAAAAUAAAUUUAUAUUGUGACAUUUGUAUAAAUGACCCAGUCUGUGGUCUUUUGUCAUAGCAGCAGGAAUAUACCAAGAUAGUUAUCAACUGA